RNAcentral lists this ribosomal RNA (467 nucleotides) under uncultured bacterium. RNAcentral's name for it is "bacterial SSU rRNA". It matches the Rfam family "Bacterial small subunit ribosomal RNA", at positions 355 to 825 of the family's 1533-position model. The record is from RNAcentral.
UGAGGAAUAUUGGACAAUGGGCGCAAGCCUGAUCCAGCCAUGCCGCGUGCAGGAUGACGGUCCUAUGGAUUGUAAACUGCUUUUGUACAGGAAGAAACAGUUCUACGUGUAGAACCUUGACGGUACUGUAAGAAUAAGGAUCGGCUAACUCCGUGCCAGCAGCCGCGGUAAUACGGAGGAUCCAAGCGUUAUCCGGAAUCAUUGGGUUUAAAGGGUCCGUAGGCGGUUAGAUAAGUCAGUGGUGAAAGCCCAUCGCUCAACGGUGGAACGACCAUUGAUACUGUCUGACUUGAAUUAUUAGGAAGUAACUAGAAUAUGUAGUGUAGCGGUGAAAUGCUUAGAGAUUACAUGGAAUACCAAUUGCGAAGGCAGGUUACUACUAAUGGAUUGACGCUGAUGGACGAAAGCGUGGGUAGCGAACAGGAUUAGAUACCCAUGUAGUCCCUGAGCGGGCUGGCAAGGCGCAU